Hibiscus syriacus is the source of this 101-nucleotide small nucleolar RNA. RefSeq annotates it as small nucleolar RNA snoR1. The transcript has a single exon. The record is from RefSeq and is a predicted model, not a curated record. Lineage: Eukaryota; Viridiplantae; Streptophyta; Magnoliopsida; Malvales; Malvaceae.
GGCGAAGAUGAAUAGUGCCUUUUUAUAAUUUAUGACACCUGUUGUAUGAGAAAAGCUUUUUUAAAGCUUUCCUUUGAGCAGAAAUAACAACAUUCUGAGUC